This 83-nucleotide transfer RNA is filed under the name Candidatus Tagabacteria bacterium RIFCSPLOWO2_01_FULL_39_11. RNAcentral describes it as "tRNA-Tyr". It matches the Rfam family "tRNA". Rfam says of the family: Transfer RNA (tRNA) molecules are approximately 80 nucleotides in length. Their secondary structure includes four short double-helical elements and three loops (D, anti-codon, and T loops). Lineage: Bacteria; Candidatus Tagaibacteriota. The record is from RNAcentral.
GGGUCGGUGGCAGAGUGGACAAUUGCACCAGACUGUAAAUCUGGCGCCUUACGGCUUCGUAGGUUCGAAUCCUACCCGGCCCA